This 292-nucleotide ribosomal RNA is filed under the name uncultured bacterium. RNAcentral's name for it is "partial 16S ribosomal RNA". It matches the Rfam family "Bacterial small subunit ribosomal RNA", at positions 505 to 796 of the family's 1533-position model. The record is from RNAcentral.
GUGUCAGCAGCCGCGGUAAUACAGAGGGUGCAAGCGUUGUUCGGAAUUAUUGGGCGUAAAGCGCGUGUAGGCGGCUCGUUAUGUCGGGUGUGAAAGCCCUCAGCUUAACUGAGGAAGUGCGCCCGAAACUGGCGAGCUUGAGUGUCGGAGAGGAUAGCGGAAUACCCGGUGUAGAGGUGAAAUUCGUAGAUAUCGGGUGGAACACCAGUGGCGAAGGCGGCUAUCUGGACGACAACUGACGCUGAGACGCGAAAGCGUGGGGAGCAAACAGGAUUAGAUACCCUGGUAGUCC